UAGGUAGUUUAUCUCUUUAGUUUGGAGUGGGUUCUUCAUCCUUGUCUUCUUUAUUCUCUUUUUUUGAGUCUUCUCCAUUGUCUUGUGGUGGAUCAUCUUUCGGUAUGAGGCUAUCCAUCUUAUUGUUGAGAUUUUCUGUAUCCUCAUCUAAAACAUCUUCCUUUCUAGAAGAUUUAUCGUUAGAUUCAUCAACAACUACAUGGAUAGAUUCUUUAAUAACAAGAGUUCUUUUGUUGAAGACUCUAUAUGCCUUACUU
This 257-nucleotide long non-coding RNA is filed under the name Elaeis guineensis (African oil palm). Its description in RNAcentral is "long non-coding RNA (EGUI_LNC024222)". Lineage: Eukaryota; Viridiplantae; Streptophyta; Magnoliopsida; Arecales; Arecaceae. The record is from RNAcentral.